ACGCUGGCGGCACGCCUAACACAUGCAUGUCGAACGAAGUAGCAAUACUUAGUGGCAGACGGGUGAGUAACAUGUAGGUAUCUGCCCUUUGGCCUGGAAUAACACGAGGAAACUUGUGCUAAUACCGGAUAAGUCUUUACGGAGAAAGCUUUAUGCACCAUUGGAUGAGCCUGCACUUGAUUAGUUUGUUGGUAGGGUAAUGGCCUACCAAGACUGUGAUCAAUAGCUGAUUUGAGAGGAUGAUCAGCCACAUUGGGACUGAGACACGGCCCAAACUCCUACGGGAGGCAGCAGUGGGGAAUCUUGCACAAUGGAGGAAACUCUGAUGCAGCGAUGCCGCGUGAGUGAAGAAGGCCUUUGGGUUGUAAAGCUCUUUCGUCGGGGAAGAAAAUGACUGUACCCGAAUAAGAAGGUCCGGCUAACUUCGUGCCAGCAGCCGCGGUAAUACGAAGGGACCUAGCGUAGUUCGGAAUUACUGGGCUUAAAGAGUUCGUAGGUGGUUGAAAAAGUUAGUGGUGAAAUCCCAGAGCUUAACUCUGGAACUGCCAUUAAAACUUUUCAGCUAGAGUAUGAUAGAGGAAAGCAGAAUUUCUAGUGUAGAGGUGAAAUUCGUAGAUAUUAGAAAGAAUACCGAUUGCGAAGGCAGCUUUCUGGAUCAUUACUGACACUGAGGAACGAAAGCAUGGGUAGCGAAGAGGAUUAGAUACCCUCGUAGUCCAUGCCGUAAACGAUGUGUGUUAGACGUUGGAAAUUUAUUUUCAGUGUCGCAGGGAAACCGAUAAACACACCGCCUGGGGAGUACGACCGCAAGGUUAAAACUCAAAUGAAUUGACGGGGACCCGCACAAGUAGUGGAGCAUGUGGUUUAAUUCGAAGAUACGCGCAGAACCUUACCAACACUUGACAUGUUCGUCGCGACUCUAAGAGAUUAGAGUUUUCGGUUCGGCCGGACGAAACACAGGUGCUGCAUGGCUGUCGUCAGCUCGUGUCGUGAGAUGUUGGGUUAAGUCCCGCAACGAGCGCAACCCUCACUUUUAGUUGCCAUCAUUAAGUUGGGCACUCUGAAAGAACUGCCAGUGAUAAGCUGGAGGAAGGUGGGGAUGACGUCAAGUCCUCAUGGCCCUUACGUGUUGGGCUACACACGUGCUACAAUGGUAUCUACAACAGGAAGCAAGACUGCGAAGUUAAGCAAAUCCCUAAAAGAUACCUCAGUUCGGAUUGCACUCUGCAACUCGAGUGCAUGAAGCUGGAAUUACUAGUAAUCGUGGAUCAGCGUGCCACGGUGAAUGCGUUCCCGGGUCUUGUACUCACCGCC
RNAcentral lists this ribosomal RNA (1314 nucleotides) under uncultured Alphaproteobacteria bacterium. RNAcentral describes it as "uncultured alpha proteobacterium 16S ribosomal RNA". It matches the Rfam family "Bacterial small subunit ribosomal RNA", at positions 33 to 1394 of the family's 1533-position model. Lineage: Bacteria; Pseudomonadati; Pseudomonadota; Alphaproteobacteria. The record is from RNAcentral.